Molecule: long non-coding RNA, 312 nt
Organism: Solea senegalensis (Senegalese sole)
Lineage: Eukaryota; Metazoa; Chordata; Actinopteri; Pleuronectiformes; Soleidae
Exons: 3
Source: RefSeq, a predicted model, not a curated record
CAGAAACACAGGCUGCACGUCUGUGUCUCACAUCCUCUCCAGAGGUUAUGCAUGAACCAAAGAUCAGCUGAUUGAACUUAAGCCGACCGGCUGAUUUACCUGCAGAAAUCUGGAGGAAAACACACAUGGAGGAAUUCAGAGGAGGAAGAAGACCACGGGGGAGGAGAGCGGGGUCUACACACGAGAGGCUUUUGGGUACAAAAAGAUACCGUUUACAUCAAAACCCCUCAACGCCGUAAAUAUGCAACGCUUUGUGCUAUCGUACAAAUUCCAACGGUUUCUGAAAGCUGAGAAGUCGCACGUCACGUUGUU